This 492-nucleotide ribosomal RNA is filed under the name uncultured bacterium. RNAcentral's name for it is "partial 16S ribosomal RNA". It matches the Rfam family "Bacterial small subunit ribosomal RNA", at positions 29 to 507 of the family's 1533-position model. The record is from RNAcentral.
AGUGAACGCUGGCGGUAGGCCUAACACAUGCAAGUCGAACGGCAGCACAGUAAGAGCUUGCUCUUACGGGUGGCGAGUGGCGGACGGGUGAGGAAUACAUCGGAAUCUACUUUUUCGUGGGGGAUAACGUAGGGAAACUUACGCUAAUACCGCAUACGACCUACGGGUGAAAGCAGGGGAUCUUCGGACCUUGCGCGAUUGAAUGAGCCGAUGUCGGAUUAGCUAGUUGGCGGGGUAAAUGCCCACCAAGGCGACGAUCCGUAGCUGGUCUGAGAGGAUGAUCAGCCACACUGGAACUGAGACACGGUCCAGACUCCUACGGGAGGCAGCAGUGGGGAAUAUUGGACAAUGGGCGAAAGCCUGAUCCAGCCAUACCGCGUGGGUGAAGAAGGCCUUCGGGUUGUAAAGCCCUUUUGUUGGGAAAGAAAAGCAGCAGGUUAAUACCCCGCUGUUCUGACGGUACCCAAAGAAUAAGCACCGGCUAACUUCGUG